GUUGGUUGGAGCUGGCAUUUCCUUCAAUUUGGGGAGGGCAUGGGCACACCUUCUCUUUUAUUCACACACCCCCCUGCACGUGUGAGACAGAGAGAUUUUUGGAGGGGGAGGGUUAUUGGACCCUUUCUUUUUGGCUCUCUGUCUAUUUAAUUAAUAUAAACUCAAUUUAUUUUAAAAUGAAUGUAAGGGAUGUAACACAUAUAAUAAUAAGUUUCAACAACGGAUGUAUUGGCUCUCGCAUCGAUGAAGAACGCAGCGAAAUGAGAUAAGUAAUGUGAAUGGCAGAAUUCAGUGAAUCAUUGAAUCUUUGAACGCACCCUCCGCUCCUUCGUAUUCCUUCGAGCAUGCCUGUUUGAGUAUCAUGAAAUAUUUAAAGUAAGAUAUUUUGUUAAUUCAAUCGGUUUUGCUUUGGUAUGGGAGGUCUAUUGCAGCUUCACACACGCUCCUUCUUGUUCAUUAGCUGGAUGUCAGUGUUAUGCUUGGUUCCACUCAGCGUGAUAAGUUAUUUAUCGCUGAGGACACACUUUUUACUCUGUAAAAAGAGUUUGGGAGGGGUGGCCAAGGUAAAUGCAGAUGAACCGCUUCUAAUAGUCCAUUGACUUGGACAAUCAAUAUUUAUGAUCUGAUCUCAAAUCAGGUAG
Molecule: ribosomal RNA, 641 nt
Filed under: Rhizoctonia solani
Lineage: Eukaryota; Fungi; Basidiomycota; Agaricomycetes; Cantharellales; Ceratobasidiaceae
Description: eukaryotic LSU rRNA
Rfam family: 5.8S ribosomal RNA (bases 209-362)
Source: RNAcentral